CUGGAUGUAAACACCGGGCACAGUGUCCUUAUGUGGAUCGGUGUGUCUGACCCCUGGGCACCCGCUGGGGGUGCAGCUCCACCAGGCCCAGUGCUCUGGAGCUCCCGCAGACGCCACCUGCCACCACGCAUAAGCCAAGGUGAACAGGCAGCCGCAGGAAGGGCGUCCAGAUGGAUGAGUCUUGAUUUUACCUGAAGUGAGAUUGACUCCGGGCACUUUGGUAGUGUCUGGAGACAUUUUUGGCUGUCACAACUGGUGGAGAGGGUGCUGUGGCUCCAGGUAUGCUGCGAAACGUCCCACAACCCACAGGACGGGCCCCAUCACGAGGGGUGCACUGGCCUCCAAUGUCCGUAGUCCCAAGAGACGCGAAGACGCACGUCCGCGCAAGAACUUGUACACAAAUGUGCAUAGCAGCGUUAUUCACAGGAGCCAAGAAGUGAAAACAGCCCGAAAGUCCACCCGCUGACGACUCCAUAAACCACACAUGGUCUGUCCAUGCAAUGGAAUAUGACCAGCCACAAAACAGAUUCAGCACUGACACGCUACAAAGUGGACAAACCUCGAAACAUGAUGCAGAGUGAAAGACGCCAGACACCGAAGGCCACACAGUGUCCGGUCCCAUUUCUAUGGAAAGCCCAGACCAGGCGGACCCGUAGAGCUGUACAGUAGGUUGGUGUUUGCCAGGGGCCGGGGGAGAAAGGAACAGGGGGUGACUGCGCAUGGAACAGGGUUUCGUUUGUGCUUUUUUUUUUUGAGAUGGUGUUUCACUCUUGUUGCCCAGGUUGGGGUGCAAUGGUGUGAUCUCAGCUCACUGCAACCUCGGCCUCCCAGAUUCAAGCGAUUCUCCCGCCUCAGCCCCCAAGUAGCUGGGAUUACAGGCAUGCACCACCACGCUCAACUAAAUUUUUUUUUUUUUUUUUUUUUUUUAGUAGAGAUGGGGGUUUCACCAUGUUAGUCAGGCUGGUCUCAAACUCCUGACCUCAGGUGAUCCACCCACCUCAGCCUCUUCUAAGUGCUGGGAUUGCAGGUGUGCACCACUGCUCCCGGCCCUUUUUUUUUUUUUUUUUUUUUUUGGACAGGAUUUCACUCCCAUCACCCAGGCUGGAGAGCAGUGGUAUGAUCUCAGCUCACUGCAGCCUCUGCCUCCUGGGCUCAGGUGAUCCUGUUGCCUCAGGCUCCUGUGUAGCUGAGACCACAGGCACACACCACCAUGCCCAGCUAACUUGUGUAAUUUUUGUAUAGAUGGGGUCUCGACAUGUUGCCCAGGGUGAUGUUGUACUCCUAAGCUCAAGUGAUCCUCCCACCUAAGCCUCCUGAAAUGCUGGGAUCACAGGCGUGAGCCACCGCGCCUGCCUGGGUUUCCUUUUGAGGCUUGAAGAUGCUGCUGCUGCACACAUUCUUAGUCAUGUCGCCUGGGACGCACGUUCAAGAAUUCUGCCUUGGCGCACACCAAAGAGAAAAAUUACUGAGUCUUCAAGAACAGGAAAGCUCCACUUUACUGGAAAAUGUUGGCAUUAUGUUGAGUACUUGCUACUUGCACCCGGCACUGGGCUAGAUAGCGACCUAUUUUCUCAUGUAAUUGUCCCUGCACUAGUAUUCUUGGGUCCAUUUUAGAGAUGAGGAAACUGAGACUCAGAGAGGGGGAUUAACUGGCCUGGCCCAAAAGUGGCAGAACAGCCUUAAGCUCUUGGCCACUCAUCCUACAGCUCACUCCCGUCACUCCCCUUGGAGCCUGAGAGACGGUUCCCCAAACAGGCACACUGCAGGCAGCGGGGCGGGGAGGGGGCUUGGCAGAAGCCACGGACAUCCCCCCCGGCAAUGGCCUUUGAAUAAUUCACCAGCCGCUUCCAGCCCAGCCCAGUGGUAAACACUUGUUUAGAAAGUAACCAAGAGCCUCCAACAGGUUUCCCAGAAUGUGGCCUGCUGAAAUUUCUGGAACCCCUGGCAAGCCUACAUAACAAAUCCCAGCCACCUAUGCCCUCAGGUACACAGAACCGUCCACCACCCCAAUGCCUCCUGCCUGCCCUGUGUCCAAACUUCAAAAAGUGCCUGCACACCCACACAGAGAGGAAAAGCACAGCUACAGCGCAUGCAGGUCUGCAAGCCGCCAACCUGGUUCCCAGCAGAGAGGAAAAGCACAGCCACAGUGCAUGCGGGGUCUGCAAACCACCAACCUGGUUCCCAGCAGAGAGGAAUAGCACAGCCACAGCGUAUGCGGGUCUGCAAACCGCCAACCUGGUUCCCAGCAGAGAGGAAUAGCAUAGCCACAGUGUAUGCGGGUCUACAAACCGCCAACCUGGUUCCCGAUGCCAGUUUUACUGUGAACUUGCUCUGUGACCACAGGGCAGUGACCUGACCUCUCUGAGCUCCAGUCUCCUCACUUAAUAUAAGAGGGAUAUCAAGGCAACAUGCAUACAUGUCAGGCCGCAAACCCCGAUCUGCAAGAUAUAACUGAUUUUUAUUUCUUUCCAAUUGACUGGGGGCUGAUUCCAAACCCCAUCCUCCCAGGAUGAAGGAAGAUUCAGUCUCAGGAUUGGGGCUCCUCCAUGCUGGGUCGGAUCAAAGACCAAAUGUCCAUGAGGUCCCUCCAGUCACUGGUUCCCCUGGGCACCCUGGAGAGACCUGGGAUGGGGAAUGGGGACUGUGAAGUGGUCCUUUCUGGGGUGAAGGGGGCGGGCCUUGUCUGUCCUGGAACUCUUGGCUUAGGGCGCCCUCUUCCUGGUGCAGGACACAAAUUCUAGACCCCUCACCUCCAGAGCAUUGCGGCAGAACCAGGUCACCAGGCCUGCCUCACUACCUGCUCCCAGCACACGAAAAUCUCGCUCCCUCUCUCCAUUUCCCUCCAGAACCAGCAACAGCUUUCCUCGCAAGCUCAGGUGUGACCAACGUGUAGUUCUCCUGUUCUGUGGGAGUAAAACUGGCUGGGCACACGGCCACAAAGCCUGAGACCCGGAGACCUCGCUCCCCCUUCCCUUGCUUCUGCUGGAAUGUGAAUGGAAGUGUCCACACCUGCUUCACGGGCUUCUCCCUCUCCCCCUUUCUGAGAGCUGGAAUGUGGGUCUGGUUUUAACACUGCUUCAACCACGCCAUGAGGACCAUAUCCAGGCGGGAUGGACGACAGGAUGGAAGGGGCUGGGCCCCAAUUACUGUAAGGCAAAGCUCCUGGCCGUCCUGACGGCCCGCCUCCGUCAGCCCUCUUACAGUAGAGAGAAACAAGCUUCUCUCUUGCUUUAGCCAAUGUUGCAUUGGAGUUUCUCUUCUUUCUCUCUCUCUUUUUGUUUUGUUUUGUUUGUUUUUGAGACAAGGUCUUGCUCUGUCGCCCAGGCUGGAGUUCAAUGGCUCUAUCAUAGCUCACUGCCACCUUGACCUCCUGCCUCAGCCUCCCAAGUAGCUGGGACUGCUGGUGUGUGCCACCAUGCCCACGUCCAGCUAAAUUUUUUUUGUAUUUUUUGUAGAGACAGGGUCUCACUAUGUUGCCCAGGCUGGUUUCAAACUCCUGGCCUCUAGUGAUCCUCCUACCUCAACCUCCCAAAGCACUGAGAUUACAGACAUGAGCCACCGUGCCCAGCCUGGAGUUUCUUUGUUACAGCAGCUGAAUCUAUACCCUGACUAAUACAUCGAGUUUUCACAAAAGGCCAGUAUAGAUGGACUAUCUUCCAGAGGCUUCUCAUCUCUGCCCAGAAAAACAAAUAUCGAGGAAAGGGCUGGAUGUUGCCUUGGAAUUGAGGGAGGGAAAUCACAGGGUGAAUAAACACAGAUGACUAUCUCAGUAAAGAACCUGCUUACCACAGUGCCUUCCUUGGGGGGUGGUUUGAAGGACCCCCAGGGACUGAUGCAUACAAGACAGCCGGCUCCUGAGGCCUGGGGCACAGCGAGCGCCGACUGCCAGAAAACACCGUGGCCGCGGGGCGGCUGCACUGAGCCUUGUCAAUAGUGAGCACUUUGCCGUGAGCCCUGUCUGGCUUACAACCUGGCAUGUGGGCUUGGGCAAGUCAUUUCAUAGUUGCCACAAAUAAUUACCGAGCACCUACUGUAUGCCAGGCACCAAAUAAUUACUGAGCACCUACUGUAUGCCAGGCACCAAAUAAUUACUGAGCACCUACUGUAUGCCAGUUCUGGAAGCUGGAGACGAAGUGGGGAGUGAGAAAUACCUAGUCUCUGCCCUCUCUGACUCAGCUUUGACUAUCUUGAGAGGUGCCAGCCCAGGGGUUCUUUGAGUGCCAGGCUGACCAGCUUCAAUGCCCUGCAGCAGGCACUCAAGUUCACAGCAGAUGGAGUGAUGUGGCAGAGGCACAAGGAAAAUGAUUAAUCUGGCAGCGAAAAACAGAAUGGAUUCGGCUCAGAUGAUUAGCAGCCCCAGGAGGGACAAGGAAAAAAAAAAAAAAACCCUGACUCUACGAUGGCUCAGCAGAACUGCUCUCUCUAAUAAAUAAUAAUUCUCCAGCUUUCCUGCUAACAGUCACAGGCAGGAUUUCUCAUCUCUAUGCCCGUCCCCCACCAGAAGUCAGGCAUGGCCGUGUGGCUUGCCUGGGCCAAUGAGAUGUCAGCAGAAGUGAUGUAAGUUGCAUCUAAGAAGAAGCUCUAAGAAGCAGUGCACAGCCUGCCUCAAGCCCGAUGAUGCUCCACAUGGCAGAGGCCCCCUCUGCAUCCCAGAGUGAGAAGACAUGGCACAGAGCCCAUUGCCAACACACAGCAGACACAUAGCACGGGUGAGGAAACAAAGUGUGGAAGAGAUCACCAAGGUUACCCAAAGUCAAACACAGAGUAGAGGCACAGACAAGACUCAAAGACAGGUCUGCCCUUUGCUGCAACCCUCCAUUCUGAACAAACCCAGCCAAGCCCCUUACUGCUAACCACUUCAAUUAAAGCCAAUGUCAAGGCCUCCUGGUUUCUAAAUGAACAGCCCUGAUCAUGUUCGUUAAAGGCCCUGUCUGCACAGACUGCUCAUUUUAUCCGAAGCCGCCAACAAGAUAAAUGGCCCUGUAACUUAUUGUUCUGCUGCAAAGCACCUCACGGCAAGCGGCGGCACAGAUGCCAGGAAUAAAUCACAUCUGAUCUUCCGAGAGCCAGGCAGAGCGCCCACGAGGAGUGUCGGAGGCAGGGGAGGUUGGCACAGCCCUGGACCUUGGGGGUUGGAGCAGCCCUGGACCUUGGGGGGAUUCACUAAGGAGCAGAGAGCUGCAGGGGUCUUUAUUAGGGCCCCGGAGCUCUGGAGUAUACAUUGUUCUUUUUUAUCGGCCCAGCACCUAUUUCCCCUUCUUGGGGUUUAAUAGCACCCCUUUUUCUCUGGGAAAACCAUCUCUCCUCCGCUCUCAGUCUGUCUGGUUCCGAUGGGGUCAUCCCUUCUCCCAGUUACAGGGAGGAGCAUGAACACGUGACCUACCCUGGUCAAUCAGAGCUUCACAUUCUUUUGCAGCCAUGACUAGCUCAGAGCAGGCAGGUGACCCACACCAGGCUGAUGGGACCCAAACCUCAGACUUCUGCUGAAACUCUAGGAAAAAAGGAGUUCUCUCUUCUAACAGGUUGCUCACAGAAGGAACUUUUCCGUUGAAUUACCUCAGUUUCUAGCACAAUUACAGGCACAUGGUAGGUGCUUGGUAAAAAUGGGCUGGAUGAAUGAACAAUCCACCUGGAGUUAGCACAGCUGGCUUCUUGUCUGGGCGCAGCCAUCUCUAACUUCAAGACAGCUUCUUCACCUCUGCAGGUCUCAGUUUUCUUGCCUAUAAAAAGGCAUUAAUAACAGCACUUAGCAGUAGCUGAUUAUAUCAGUUAGCUAUUGCUGCCGACAUGCUGCGUAACAAAAGAUUCCCACCUGCAAUCACUCAUUAUCAUUUCCGUGUCUGCCAGUUGGCUGGGAGUCACCUGAUCCAGGCUGGGCUGGGCUGCCCACCUGUCUCUCUUCCUCUUUGGAUCAGCAAGUUAACCCAGGGCCUGUUUGUCUCACCCAGUGACAGAGGCACAGCAUAAUACAAGGUCCCUGAAGGGAUAGGGCCAAUACUAGCACAGCCUCAUUUCCAUUGCCUUCUUAUGGCCAAAGCAAGUCACAUGGCCAGACCUAAAGUCAAGAGGUGGGGAAAUGCACUCUACUUCUUUGCCACCCGGUAAAGGGCACAGAUGUGGGGGGUGGUGAGGAAUUGAGGCUGGCUGUGUACCCCCACAAUGCCAUUGUCUGUGCCUUGAUGUUGACUUGAUCCGUGUCCACCUCCUUCUCCACUAGAAUAAACCUCGGAGCACCUGGAUCUCUGUCUGCUUUGUUCACGGCUGUAUCCCAGCAUCUAGAACGGGGCCCAGGACAGAGUCAAUGCACAGCAAAUCCUUGUGGAAAGCCUGGCUAGCUGCCCCUGGCCUCCCUCUGCUGUGAGGAUUGAGCCAGGUCAGAGACCCAGACAUGGCAUUGGAAGUUAUGGAAGCCCCU
Molecule: long non-coding RNA, 6415 nt
Filed under: Homo sapiens (human)
Lineage: Eukaryota; Metazoa; Chordata; Mammalia; Primates; Hominidae
Description: HSALNT0196576
Source: RNAcentral